GAUAGGAAAUUGACAACUAAACCGAAUCAUCUCUUAAAUCCAGUCCAGACCCUGGUUUGAAAUGUCAGAGGAACUCCGGAGACAGUGGGAAAGUGAGCAGGCCUCUCUGAAGCUGCAGCUGGUGGAUGGUGACACAGAGGCUUGGCAGAGAGCUCCUUCGUUCUCGGGGCUGGAGCGAGUCGGGGGAGUCGACCUGUCCUUUAUCAAGGGUGAUGACGUGAACGCCUGCGCCCAGCUGGUGGUGCUCAGCUACCCAGAGAUGGAGCUUCUCUAUGAGGACUGUCGGAUGGUGACCCUCAGUGCCCCCUACAUCGCGGGGUUCCUGGCGUUUCGGGAGACCCCCUUCCUGGUGGAGGCUGUGCAGCGCUUGGAGAGCGAGAGCCCCAGCCUCCUUCCUCAGGUGAUCUUCGUGGAUGGCAAUGGCCUGUUCCAUUACCGAGAGUUCGGCCUGGCAUGUCAUCUAGGUGUCCUGACAGGGCUGCCCUGCAUUGGCGUUGCUAAGAACCUGUUGCAGGUUCAGGGGGUGGAGAAUAGCGAGAGGCACAAGGAGCAGAUUAAAGAGCUGCAGAACAGAGGGGACACUUUUCCACUGGAGUCCAGCUCUGGGAGAGUGCUGGGAAAGGCCCUGAAGAGCUCUGACAGGAGCACUAAACCCCUUUACGUGUCUGUGGGUCACCGCAUUAGCCUGGACACUGCUCUCCGCCUCACCACUGCCUGCUGUAAAUACAGGAUCCCCGAGCCAAUCAGACAGGCGGAUAUUCGCUCUCGGGAAUACCUGCGGAAGCACUUUCCAGAAGGGAGUGAGGAGGGAGCGAGCGCAGGGAGCGAGAAAGAGGGCCGGGCUGCGGGGAUCAGGAGCCUGUAAUGGAAUUAAAAAGGUGUACAGGGUAACACAGGAUGAGAGGGGCUGAACUGUAAGAUGCUGUUUAUCUCUAUCAACACGAAGAACUGCAACUUGUAAAGGUCUUCCUGAGAUCUGUAUUCAUCAAACUCUACAGCAAGCGAGCAGCACUGCGGCCCUGAAACUGAGUCCUACAAGAGACACUGCACUGUGUGUGUGUGAGAGUCUAUGUGUGUGUGUAUGUGUGUGAGUCUGUGUGAGUCUGUGUGA
RNA transcript from Polyodon spathula (Mississippi paddlefish), 1111 nucleotides. It is a transcript of the gene named endonuclease V-like, with no coding region annotated. Lineage: Eukaryota; Metazoa; Chordata; Actinopteri; Acipenseriformes; Polyodontidae. The record is from RefSeq and is a predicted model, not a curated record. The transcript has 10 exons.